This 433-nucleotide ribosomal RNA is filed under the name uncultured bacterium. RNAcentral describes it as "partial 16S ribosomal RNA". It matches the Rfam family "Bacterial small subunit ribosomal RNA", at positions 29 to 507 of the family's 1533-position model. The record is from RNAcentral.
AACGAACGCUGGCGGCAUGCCUAACACAUGCCAGUCGAACGAGACCUUCGGGUCUAGUGGCGCACGGGUGCGUAACGCGUGGGAACCUGCCUUUAGGUUCGGAAUAACUCAGAGAAAUUUGAGCUAAUACCGGAUGAUGUCUUCGGACCAAAGAUUUAUCGCCUUUAGAUGGGCCCGCGUUGGAUUAGCUAGUUGGUGGGGUAAAGGCCUACCAUGGCGACGAUCCAUAGCUGGUCUGAGAGGAUGAUCAGCCACACUGGGACUGAGACACGGCCCAGACUCCUACGGGAGGCAGCAGUGGGGAAUAUUGGACAAUGGGCGAAAGCCUGAUCCAGCAAUGCCGCGUGAGUGAUGAAGGCCUUAGGGUUGUAAAGCUCUUUUACCCGAGAUGAUAAUGACAGUAUCGGGAGAAUAAGCUCCGGCUAACUCCGUG